Molecule: ribosomal RNA, 234 nt
Filed under: uncultured bacterium
Lineage: Bacteria
Description: partial 16S ribosomal RNA
Rfam family: Bacterial small subunit ribosomal RNA
Source: RNAcentral
UGGGCAACCUGCCCUCAGCACGGGGAUAACCCCGGGAAACCGGAGCUAAUACCCGAUACGACCUCUACGGGCAUCCGUGGAGGUGGAAAGUGGGGUUAGUGGCUGAGGAUGGGCCCGCGGCCUAUCAGCUUGUUGGUGGGGUAACGGCCCACCAAGGCGACGACGGGUAGCCGGCCUGAGAGAGCGACCGGCCACACUGGGACUGAGACACGGCCCAGACUCCUACGGGAGGCA